This 2140-nucleotide unclassified non-coding RNA is filed under the name Melitaea cinxia (Glanville fritillary). RNAcentral describes it as "misc RNA ENSMCXG00005016087.1". The record is from RNAcentral. Lineage: Eukaryota; Metazoa; Arthropoda; Insecta; Lepidoptera; Nymphalidae.
CUACAAUUCAAAAUCACAAUUCUGUGAAAAUACACUUAUACAGAUUUUAUAAAAAAAGUUGCUAAAUAUUAAAAUUGUUUAUAUAUCAUAUUUUUUAAGAAUCGUUCUUUUGUCAGAAACGGUGAUUGCGCAGAAGCCUAGAGCAUAUUGUCAGAUGACACAGUUAACCCUCUGCGACCCUAAGUGCGUGUUCCGUCCUCAACUGGUUAAUUUGACGGUGGAUAUAAUAAUUUAAUAAAAUAUUUGCCCUGUGCAGAGGAUAACAGCUUUAAAAGACUCGAGCGAGCUUUAGAGGCGCGCGGACGUAUAGGCACCUGCUAAGUCCUUUGAGGGAUAACGCGUACUCUCCGAACUUGUUAUCUAACUAUAAGUGUAUCAGUGCUAAUAUAGCAUAUUUUUAUAUUUCACAUCUAAACUUCAGCUCCAGCAGUAACAGAAUGACAUCACCAGCAAUAAGUAAAUCACCAGAAAAACAAAAAAGUCAAAAUAAAUCACCAACGCAUUCUAUAAAUGCUGAACAAGCACCAUCUAACGGGGAUUCAACCGUAACAGCAUCAUCGAGUACGCAGCAAUCGGAUCCUUGUAGCUGGUUUCGAAUAUUUAAACUUGCUGACCUCAUGAUGAAACAAGGAUGUUAAAUUUCUAUAGAAAUAUUUUAUUUCUAGAGAAAUCUAAUCUUUAUUAGACACACUUAUUGAUUUGUAGAGUAGACAGAAAGUAGUUUACUGAUAUUAUCCAGGACAUAAAUAUAUCUUAGAAAAUGUUAUCAACACAAUUAACUUCUACCGGUAAUAAAACAAUUAUUUAGAAAAAAAAAUGAAUAGAUGUAGAAUCCAAUAUUUAUAGAAGAAACUAUUGUUGUAUCUACAACUUUAAUAUUUUAUAUGUUAUUUUAUAUUUAAGUUUCUAUUUAAAAAUGCAUCGAAUUUAAUUUAUUAUAAUUAAUAUUCUAAUAAUUAUAUUGAAUUAUUUGUAUUUUUUUGGACGAUAUUUUACGACUAUAUUGUGAAGGUGAGCAAUAUAAUUUAUAAAUAAUACACUUUGAAAAUGAUAAUUACAGUCAUUGAUCAAAAUGAUCACAAAGAAACGUUGAUUAUAAUUUUAUAGUAAAAAUAAAUAUAAACAAACAUUUUAUCAAUUGAUUUUUAAAUUAGCUACUCUUCAGCCUGUGAUAUCCCACACCUGGGCAUAGGCCUCUUUCCCCAUUUAGGAGAAGGAUCAGAGCUUAAUCCUCCACGCUGCUCCAAUGCGGGUUGGCGGAUAUAUAUAUGGCGGAUAUAUACUAUGAGUAACGAUCGCUAUCAGGUGUACAUGAUAACAACCAGGACCGACAGCUUAACAUGCUCUCCGAGGCAAGGUGGGGAGACCCACAAGGACUGCAAAAACACCCAGACCACGGCAAACAUCUGCAUAGCCAAUACAAAUGUUUGUUAUGUGGGGGCCAUCGAACCCGCAAUCGCAACAAACCAGUGCUGUGAUCGUUGCGCCAACGCGUCAUCAAGUCGUUUUAAUUAGCAAAUCGUAAUUAUAUAUUUCUACAAAUGAUUUACAAUUUAAAAUUAGUUUGUCUUAAUGCAUGCAAAGUAACGCAUUUGUCACGUGACAUAUAUUUCAUAAAAAUUACUUCUAUUACCUAUUUAUUAAAUAAUCCAUUUGCAUUAAGAAAAUAGUUAGGAAAAACUACAAAUCGCCUGACUACCUGUUAUACUAAUAACAAUUGAAAAAUAGCAUCUUGGUAUUGAUAUGGCAAAAAAGUACGUUUAAUUGCUAACCUGAGUAAGUCAACUUCAUUAUUACCUACUAAUUAAAUUUUUGAGAAGAAUUAUGCGCAACAAAAUUCGACUAUAAAUCGGUCAAUACUAAGUUACAUGUAUUGUGGCUCUGUGAUAAUAUUCUGUGCCUCCUGUGACAAGUGAUACAAAUCAACAAUCCUAAUUUUACAGAAGAGCAAAAACGAGGCAUAAUUUUUUUUUUUUAAAUAUUUUUUUUUGUUCUCACUCUUCUAUUCACAUAAUUUACUUGAAUUUUACCACUUUACGAAAGUUUCAGGUUCAAAAGGACUACUAACUCUCUAGAUACAUCAGUAUUCACGAAAAAUGUACUGAAAAUCAAUUGUGAAAUUUAAAACAAUCGUACUUAA